RNAcentral lists this long non-coding RNA (431 nucleotides) under Pan troglodytes (chimpanzee). RNAcentral describes it as "lincRNA". Lineage: Eukaryota; Metazoa; Chordata; Mammalia; Primates; Hominidae. The record is from RNAcentral.
AUAUUACUUUAUAGUAAUUUAUCUUAGUCCAGGUGCAGUGCCUCACACCUGUAAUCCCAGCACUUUGGAAGGCUGAGCUGGGAGGAUUGCUUGAGGCUGGCAGUUCGAGACUUCUUCCAUUUUAAGGGACCUUGUGAUUACAGCUGGUCCAUCUGGAUAUUCUAAGAUACUCUUCCUAUUUUAAGGAGAGAAAUCUGAAAUCUGAGGUGCAGUUGAUUUGAAUCCAGGAAAUCUAAGGAAAAAGUUCAAGCUCUUAAUCAUUUCAUACCCUCCUUGUUGCUAACUUAAACUUUUUUUUUAAAAAAGUUAAUCUUGUCUAUGAAGCAUGAAUCUAUAAUACUAGGGAAAAAACUGGCUAACUUGAAGAAAAAAUAAAUUGAAAUGAAAAGCAAUUAAUUCCUCUUAAUAUGAAUAAAGGAUGAUCUAAAUGC